Molecule: long non-coding RNA, 2060 nt
Organism: Homo sapiens (human)
Lineage: Eukaryota; Metazoa; Chordata; Mammalia; Primates; Hominidae
Product: long intergenic non-protein coding RNA 2019
Source: Ensembl
CUUCCUUCCAGGGGGUAUCUUGUUUUUGAUUCUAUCUCCGCCCUUUUUCCUGGACAGAAAAUAAACAUGCAAACAAAAACCCUAUUGGAACAAAAAUAUAAAUUUCUGGAAAACAUUAAAAGCACUCAUUUACUAAUGUAUUAAUUAAAACAAUAUUUACUGAGCACCUACUAUGUGUCAGAUGCUGCAUGCUAGGCACUAAAAAUAAAAAAGAAUAUAGCAUGGUGCUGUCUCCAGGUAGCUCACAGUCAAGUGGGCAGCAAGCAAGUGCUGGGAAUUCUCUGACACAUCUGGAAACAUCUGGGGGUGCUUCUCAUGGUGGGGCUUAUUCAUUAGAGCCCAUCCAGAAGUGCCACAUCAGUCUCCACGAAUUAAAAUCAGGAGAGCUUUGGCCAUUUCUCAUUUGAAGACCUUGGCUAACUGAAAGAAAUCCACAUUUUAAUAACAUUUUGAAUGGGUUGAUAAAAUAGGAACAGAUGGUUAAAGUUUGUCAUUUUAGGGAAAAUAAUGAAAUAUUGUACUGCUUAAUCUGUCUUCCUGUCACACUCUUCCCUAUCCCCUCCCUACUGAAAAUAUAUUCAGAUGCAACAAAACUUAAAGCAAAAUACUAAUAUCUUCUUAGACACUUUAGGUCUCUUCACCUGAAAGUGCUCUAAUUGUGUCAGCCAUCUCUGUGUUAACUUUAUCUUUUUUUUUUUUUCAGACACAUUCUCACUUUGUCACCAGGCUGGAGUGCAGUGGAGCAAUCUUGGUUCGCUGCAAUCUCUGCUUCCUGGGUUCAAGUGAUUCUCCUGUCUCAGCCUCCUAAGUAGCUGGGACUCCAGGCGCAUACCACCAUGACUGGCUAAUUUUUGUAUUUUUAGUAGAGACGGGGUUUCACCAUGUUGGCCAGGCUGGUCUUGAACUUCUGGCCCCAAGUCAUCUGCCUGCCUCAGCCUCCCAAAGUGCUGGGAUUACAAGUGUGAGCCACUGUGUACAGCCUUUGUGUUAACUUACUUUGAAUUAGCCCCUUAUUCCAAAGCUGCCUCCUGAAAGGAGGCUUCCUAAAAGGUGUUGCUUUGGGGUAAAUAAGAGGUGCUGGUGAAGUGAGACUAGCUUGCGCAUCUCUCUGCCAUGAAGGAAACUAGCUCCGCAGACGUUUUACUAACCACAGCAGACCCCCUCCUUGAGGAACCCAGAAGGGCAGAGGUAAGUUGGGUAACGUGUUCUUAAGUCUUCCAUUUACCUGACCCUGGGGUUCAUAUGGGGAUAAGCUCCAGCUGCUGACACCUUCUGAUCAAGAGAAGGCAGAAUGUCACCACUAUCACCUGCACUUUGUUUGGAUUUGCCUCUAUACCCACUGCAUUUCUCUGAUGUUUUUUUCUACCAUUCUGUUUGGACAGAGCAUCAGAUGAAAUCAACUGCUGAGAGAGGGAAGUGAGUGCUGUGUUGGCACCGCUGCCAGAAACUCUUGAGAAUGAGCAUCGUGUGCCACUUAUCCACUGCUUGCCGACUUCAGUAGCAAGAGCCUCCAGAAUGCUCAUGGAUAAACAUCAUCUUUGUGGCCACACAUUGUUUUAUGAGCUGAGUCAUCAGACUGGCUGGCUCCUUAAAUGCUGCUGUGUGAUUCUCUAGGCAGCAGAAAACAAGGAGAGAAGAUAUGAAGUGUAUCUCAUCGAGCUUUGUAGAGGGCCAGUAUCAUUCACCAAAGGUGAUGGGGGAUUUACCAUUAUGGAGUUUGCUUGUGAUAAAAAAUUAUUGAUCAACUUAAACUCUAAGAGAAAAAGAUGAUGCUGUCUGCAUUUCUUGUAAAUUAUUUAUAAAAUUUGUUUGGGUAUCGGCUAUUUUUAACAGCCACCAGUCUUAACGAAUUUCCUGCAGAAAACUUGAUUCCUUCCUUGCUCAUCGAGUUGCAAUUUAUCAUCUAAGGUAAUGAGUUAAACCCAAAAGUAACAGUGACAUGAUAAGUGAAACUGUUUGCAUACUUUGUUUUUUAAAUUGCUCUAUCAUGUUUAUCUUUUUUAUAGCUACUCAAUAAGACAUUGCAAUGAAUUUUUAAUUAAAACCAAUAUGUCUAUAAC